Molecule: long non-coding RNA, 4047 nt
Organism: Catharus ustulatus (Swainson's thrush)
Lineage: Eukaryota; Metazoa; Chordata; Aves; Passeriformes; Turdidae
Exons: 4
Source: RefSeq, a predicted model, not a curated record
CGGGGGGUGCGGGGGGGGACCCCGCUCCCGUGCCCAUCACAGGCACCUACCUUCAUCUCCUCGUUGAUCUCCCGCUUCACCGGUUUUUUUUCCUGCUGGGGAGGAUGAGAUAAACAAGCAGGCCUGAUUUUUCCAGCUGCUAAAUAUGCAAGCAGCAGGACAGCUUCAAAGCGAGAGGUUUUAGAAGGCAGCAGCAACAAGGCAACGCUGCUCUGGGGGCACUCUGGAAACAACGUGCCGGUUUUCAGAGGCCGAACCGGGACAAGCGGGGCCAUCCCCGGAGCCAUCCCCGGAGCCAUCCCGGUGCUGCCCCGCGGGAGGCGAGCGGAUGGAGCGCGGCCCCGGCCCGAGGAGCAGCAUCCCCGCCCGGCGGCCGCGCCGACAGCUCCCCCUCCUGUCCCGCUCCUUCCCGGCACGGCGGGAAACGCAUCAUGGAGCCUCGGACACCGAAACGUGUUUCAGUACCAGUCUGCGUGCGAUUAUGCACGUAUAAACCCACACGUCCACCCACACACGCAAGGGGAAAGCUGAAGAUUACUCGGCUCCAAUAUGUUGUUGCUCUGAGCCUCUGUCCAAAUUCCCCUGAGUGGAGCACUGCCCACCAGAGGAGAUGGCCUGAGAGGCUCUUCCAAUGGGAAUUGGGUGGGGAGGUGAACAAGCAGUGACUCUACAAAGGGGCGCUGACUGAUGAGCCAGUGAGGAGGCAGCUGCGUUCUGAGGGCAUGUGGCACAGGAGGGGUUUGUCCCACUGCCUUUGCGGCGCUGCUGAGACCCUGCGGGAUCUUUGGCUUCCCAUCUGUGCCAUGUACCGAUGAGCUACCGUAUCCCUGAGCCUGGGGUGCAGAAUGAAAAGAGUUACAGACACCUUCUCUGUCAAAGGACCCCUAUGUAUCACAGCUACAUUUAUUUGUUUUUUAAAAAUCCUUCGCAUUUGUUGUGAUUUAUUAACCAGCAACAUAUUAAGCUCUGAUAUUGGUAUCACAGUAGGUAUAAUUAGGUUUAAAAAUUAAUACUUCUAAGUGUCAAAUUCUGUCCAAGGGACGUGACUCCUACUGAAACCAAUGGAUGCUAAAUGAUGGUGUUUUUUCAGUGUCUAACUAUGGGAUCAAUAUGGCCUUCGCCCUUGUCAGUGGUUCUGUCAGCUGCUAGGAAGACAGGCAGCCUUGCAGACAAGACACAGACAAGGAGGUCAAGAGAAGUGGAUUCUUUUCUCAGUUUGCCUUAGGGCUUUUGCAAAGCCUUGGACAAAUCACACAACCUCUCCAUUAAACCUUCUGACUUCCAAAAUGGAAAUGAUCAUUACUCUCUGGUUUCCCAGGAUGCCAUGAAAUAAAUCAAUUCUUGGGAGAAGGGAAAAAGGGGGGAAUAGGUGUGUGUGGGAACAAGUCCAUGGGUGCUUUGGAAGGAACAGUCAUAUUUCUCUUCACUUUUUUUUUUUUGUAAACAGUCUUGGAAUGCACCUGGGAUUUAACAUAUUAAAAAUUAAGCAAUAUCUAGAAGAUUUAGUCAUGUAGACAGGUUACAGUUACUACAAUAUAUAACAUUGCUACUCGCAUUCUCAUAUAGACAUAAUUUAUUUUGGAUAAAUGGAUAAUUGAAAGUCCAAAUGCUCCCAGUCAAAUGAGAAUGCUUUGCAAUUGUUUUACUUUAGAUGGCAGUUAGGAAAAUAUUUCAUGUUUCAUUUGCUAGAAAAGAGACCCAGAGUUGGCACUAGUAGUCACUUUGAUGUAUCCUCUGGUUCAUUGGUCCAGAGCAUGCUGAUGUAAACAGAAGUGUCGCUUGACCUGUCAUCUUUGUUCUUCAACUUUGAUACUGGCCCCCUCCAGUGGCUUCUUUCUCUUCCUGGGGGGGCUUUAAAAAGUCACUUGAUAUGGAAAAAAAAAAAAAAGACUCAGUUGCCUUCUCUAUUUAAGACUCUAAAGAAAUAGACAUGUCUAUUGUACAGUCACUGAAGCUCUUGAAACAGUGUGGAUUUUUCUCUCCAGUCCUGUGGGGAAAUGAGCAAAGGAGAAAAAAAAAAGCAUGUGGUUUUGUCCACAACUUAUGAUAUGGUAAGUACAUAGUACUUUUGCUUCUGAUGGGUUUUUUUUUGAGAGGGAAACUGAGAAGCUCAGUUUCAGAAACAGGCAGUGCAAAUAGCAAUGCCUAUGGGUAAGUUGGUCCAUCAUUGCCUAUUAUAGAACCCUGGUUUUUGAUGCCUGUAACUGUCAAAUAUUAGCUAAUUUGUAAUGAUUUUUUCCUGUGAUUGGUGUGCCAGCCUGAAGCUGAUUUUUAAAAUAGUUCACUCUGUUUGAAAAAUGAGGUUAGCAAAAAACCACAUUCUCCUUGUGUUAAAAAAUAUCAUUGGGUUGCAUGACUGAUAAACUCUCCAUGCUCUAAACCUGAAAUUUGGCAAAGGAUUUGCCAAGGCUUUGGAGGGUUCCACCCAUAAACACGUAUGAUAAGAAGAGCCUGUGAUUAGGCCACAUGCUAUGCAGACAAGAGGGUUAAUGAAGGUGAGGGAGAAGGCUGUGACAAGAUUGAAAGAACAGUAGUCUGUAGAGAUGGUGUGGGACUGAAGCAAAGAAGAUGGAGAUGGAGAGAAAGGCACUAUGAACUUAGACCAGGAGUCAAAAAUGAACUACUGAAGUAAGACUCAUAGGUUGCUGAGAGAAGGGAAAGGGAUGAAGGCAUUGGGCUGGGAGACAGAAAGCCCUUAGGUAUUACAAUACAAUCUUCUCAAAGAGUCUCUGUGGUCAAGAAAUAGUAAUUUCAAAAAAAGACGGAAAAUGACUGACAAAAUAUUUGCUUUAUUCCUCUAGUAAUUGCUGCUUUUAAAGUAUAUCAACCUACUGAUGGUGAAUUGUGAGGAAGCCCUAGUGAUAGUGUGCAGCAUUGUCAAUAUCAAGGGUCUUGCCCUAGUUCUAAACCAUGUGAAAUUAGAAGAAGAACUCUGCAUAGAGUGUAGAGGCAUUGAGAUUUUUAGAAUAACAUAAAGAACAGCAAUUUUAAAAAGUUAAAGUCUCACAUGUUAGGAGAUGGUAGGUUUACUGCCCAUUGAACCCUAAUUCUCCCUAGUUUAUAUGUAUUAUUUUAAGCAGACUUUAAUUGUAUAAUCAUGUUGAGUUUUUCACAGAACACUAACCACAUUAAGUGCAAGAAUGGAUAUGGCUCAGGAAAUGAAUCAAGGAACUUGUCACCGUUACAGGAUGAGGUGCCUUGGUAGCUCCUCUUAAGUGCAUCCCUCCGGCAAUUUUCAUUAACUUAGGCUUUCUGCAUAGAAACAUGCCACUGCAUUCUGUCAUUUCUAAACUGUGUUUAUGAGCAGAAACUCCCUAUUUAGCAACAGUUUGUUCUGUGACACCAGCUAACUAAACUGCCUCGGUGGCAGCUCCUUCAAAGCAAAGCUUUAUUUUCUCAGAGACAGGCAGCACAGAAAGCAAAGAGUUGACACCAGAAACUUAACUCUUAGGUUACCUUUCCAGUUCUCACAGGUUUUCUCUAUUCUAGUUUCUCCGCUUUCCAUUGGGAGAGGUCACUUAGGAGAUGCCACAGGCAUGUCCAGGUGUUGUUGACUCCACAGUCAAAGCCCUUCCUUAGGACAGUAUGUUUUACAGUUCUGGAGUUGUCUCAGGUGUCGAAACAACAAAUAUCUUGUCAUUUUUAUUGAAAAACAGGUAAGGGCAUUCCUUUUUAGCAGCUUCUCCCUUGCAAAUGCAAGAAUUAUAUUGUGCUUUCCUGGACAUCUUUCUUUGUGAUGGGAUUGUUUUCUAUUUGCAUCUUCUUUUACAGUAGUAUCUUCAACAUAACUCUCUUUAAAUAAGGCAAACAAAAUCAAGCGACUUGUAUCUUGUAUUUCCAAAGAUAAGAAAGUUAACACCCUCAUUUUCAACAUGAAUGUAGUAAAUAGGACAAUUUUCUCAUCAGAACUUUGCCUGAUUUGUUGAAACAAAGCCCUGAAGAUAUAGAAGGAAUGGAUAUCAGUGAUUGUAAAGACAGACCAUAUUCUUGCUGAAGUAUCUGUGGGUGUGAAGAAGUCACUUAAAUCAAAUUUCUGAAGAUGGCCAA